This 360-nucleotide RNase P RNA is filed under the name Pseudomonas donghuensis. Its description in RNAcentral is "RNase P RNA component class A". It matches the Rfam family "Bacterial RNase P class A". Rfam says of the family: Ribonuclease P (RNase P) is a ubiquitous endoribonuclease, found in archaea, bacteria and eukarya as well as chloroplasts and mitochondria. Its best characterised activity is the generation of mature 5'-ends of tRNAs by cleaving the 5'-leader elements of precursor-tRNAs. Cellular RNase Ps are ribonucleoproteins. Lineage: Bacteria; Pseudomonadati; Pseudomonadota; Gammaproteobacteria; Pseudomonadales; Pseudomonadaceae. The record is from RNAcentral.
AGAGUCGAUUGGACAGUCGCUGCCUUCUAUAGUUUCGCAAUAGAGGGGGGAGGAAAGUCCGGGCUCCAUAGGGCAGAGUGCCAGGUAAUGCCUGGGGGGCGCGAGCCUACGGAAAGUGCCACAGAAAAUAACCGCCUAAGCACCUCGGUGCCGGUAAGGGUGAAAAGGUGCGGUAAGAGCGCACCGCAUGACUGGCAACAGUUCAUGGCUAGGUAAACCCCACUCGGAGCAAGACCAAAUAGGGUUCCAUAUGGCGCGGCCCGCGUUGGAACCGGGUAGGUUGCUAAAGGCGUCCAGUGAUGGCCGUCGUAGAGGAAUGACUGUCCUCGACAGAACCCGGCUUACAGAUCGACUCUCCAC